RNAcentral lists this ribosomal RNA (253 nucleotides) under bacterium. Its description in RNAcentral is "partial 16S ribosomal RNA". It matches the Rfam family "Bacterial small subunit ribosomal RNA", at positions 524 to 776 of the family's 1533-position model. RNAcentral also lists the same sequence under 1 other name. The record is from RNAcentral.
UACGGAGGAUCCAAGCGUUGUCCGGAUUUAUUGGGUUUAAAGGGUGCGUAGGCGGAUUUCUAAGUCAGAGGUGAAAGCUUGCAGCUUAACUGUAAAAUAGCCCCUGAAACUGGCAAUCUUGAGUACAUUUGAGGUGGGCGGAAUGUAUCAUGUAGCGGUGAAAUGCUUAGAUAUGAUACAGAACACCAAUUGCGAAGGCAGCUCACUAAACUGUAACUGACGCUGAGGCACGAAAGCAUGGGGAGCAAACAGG